CCUACGGGAGACUGCAGUGGGGAAUAUUGCACAAUGGGGGAAACCCUGAUGCAGCGACGCCGCGUGAGCGAAGAAGUAUUUCGGUACGUAAAGCUCUAUCAGCAGGGAAGAAAAUGACGGUACCUGACUAAGAAGCCCCGGCUAACUACGUGCCAGCAGCCGCGGUAAUACGUAGGGGGCAAGCGUUAUCCGGAUUUACUGGGUGUAAAGGGAGCGUAGACGGCAGCGCAAGUCUGGAGUGAAAUCCCAUGGCUUAACCAUGGAACUGCUUUGGAAACUGUGCAGCUAGAGUGCAGGAGAGGUAAGCGGAAUUCCUAGUGUAGCGGUGAAAUGCGUAGAUAUUAGGAGGAACACCAGUGGCGAAGGCGGCUUACUGGACUGUAACUGACGUUGAGGCUCGAAAGCGUGGGGAGCAAACAGGAUUAGAUACCCGGGUAGUC
This 440-nucleotide ribosomal RNA is filed under the name uncultured bacterium. Its description in RNAcentral is "partial 16S ribosomal RNA". It matches the Rfam family "Bacterial small subunit ribosomal RNA", at positions 338 to 795 of the family's 1533-position model. The record is from RNAcentral.